Molecule: non-coding RNA, 6417 nt
Organism: Delphinapterus leucas (beluga whale)
Lineage: Eukaryota; Metazoa; Chordata; Mammalia; Artiodactyla; Monodontidae
Source: RefSeq, a predicted model, not a curated record
UGGGGACCAGCGGAGCUUUUUACAAGAAGUCACGGGGGGUAGGGGAACCGAGAGGGUGAAAAACGCCCUGCGGAGCUGCCUGGGCGGGGAGGGAACCUGCGCCCGGAGCCACGUGCUGGAGCCGGCGCUGGGUGGGUGGCUUGGCGAGGCGUGGGGGAGGGAGAGGCCCUUGCUGGGAAAGGCCCCAGGCCACGUUUCUGGGGGAGGAGAAGAACCGCGGGUGGACACGCUCGGCCCCAGGCCACCAGGGAAUGUUCGUGUCUGGAAAACGCGGCCCAGAUCCCUUUGAUGGGAGCAGCUCUGGCCAAGCCUGGAGGGCUGGCCCUGCCUGCUUAGGGUUGGACCUGAAGAAAUGCAGUGGCCUAACCCAAUGGCCUCCGCUGACCUCGGUGGGAUGGGGUUAGGGCUGGAGGCACCUCCACCUCCCACCCCUCAAAGAGGAUGUCUGUCCAAGGGUCAAAGAAUUGGAGAGGCUGAGUAAGUUGACGGUGGGUGGCUGCCCAGUGAAGGCGGGGGGAGUAGUAAGAAGAAGGAAGGAGGCGUAAAAAGAAGGAAGAAGAAUUUUAAGAACAUGCCAAGGACAUAACUGCAGUCCUUGGAAAGUUUCUUUCCAGGAUUUGACUUGCCGUUCUUUCCAAAGCCACGGCUCGACAAGUGAUGCCAGCCCAUGGAGGGGGUGUUGUGUCUCAUCUUGCAGGCAGAAGUAGCACAACAGCUGGGUGAACCAAACCCAUCCAGAUCUGUCCAGAGCUGUUUGUCAGUAUGGCCUCACAGGACCACGUGAGCUGCCUCUUGCCCCAUGUGACCCCCAUUCAAACUCAGGCAGAGCAAGAGCUCCCGGCCCCCUUCUCCUUGGGCAGCCUUCUCGCAAGUGUGUGGAUGGGUGGCUCAUUCCUGCCAGGUCAAAAUAGCAUUGAGCCAGACUUCUGGGAAGCUCUGUAUUCCAGGCCUCUGUAGAAGAGUUAAAAAUAACAGCUCUUGGGAAGCCAGGGGGUCUAGUUUGCUGAGGUGGGACAAGAUGCAGAGCCCUGUGACAUCAAAGGGCAGAAAUACUGGCUGGGGAUCUGUAUGGAAAGUGUUAGUAGCAGGAGGUCCUGGGCCCUGUGUGGUUGCCCUUCGGGGAAGUUGGUGGGCUGGACCAGUGGGGGUUAUCCUAGGAGGCUAAGGCCAGGUGCAGAAUGGGGGCUGUGGCCGGAUACUUAAGCCACAAACACUGCAACCCCCAACUUCCACUUUUUUUUCAUGCUGAGAACUCUCUUGGUAGAGGCUGCUUCCUCCAGUGUUUUAAAUUCUGAUUUCUCAUGUAUCUGUCAGAGAGACAGUUAUCACGAACUGGGUGAAGCUCUUUUCUGCCAUUCCACAAUCUGUGGACUUGCAGCCCUCCGCACCUGCAUGUAACCCUUACCAUGCUUUGCCUGGCCUGAGAGGUUUUGCUGUCUUCAACUUCCCUCUCUACCCGGAGGCCUACUGGGAGGCCCAGAGUUUCAUCUUUGCAACUCCCUCUUGGUGGAACUCAUGGGGAAGUGAAUUAGCUGUCAUCUCUGCCCUCCUCUGCCCCACACUUGGCCUGAUAGCCUCCUUUGUGUCUGAGGGCACUUCCUGUUUGCUGUGUCUGCUGCUUCCACAAGAGCUUCAUCCUGGGUUUUGACCCAACCUGCUCUUUGCCUGACAGUUCCGCCCAGCCUUUGGGACCCUGGCUUGUUAUCCUGAUUGACACCUGGCAGCUGUUCAGCAGGGAGAGCUUAUGCAUCUUCCCUUAGCAGUUGGAACUAGGGCAAAGGGUCGAUGGUGCCUAAGUGUACUUCACUAAAGCCAGCCAGCCCGUUGCGUGUGCCUGCACAUCCAGGAAUGCAGGUGGACCUAACUGAAGCUAACAUGUCGUGUAAAUCCACAGUCAUACAAAAAAUAAGGGCUGCAACCCUUCACAAAACUUUUUUCAAAGCAUACCAUUAAAUAUGAGAUUCCUGGUAUGUAUUUAGAGGGCUCAUUUUCCUUGCAACUUCUGAGAAAUAGAUAUAUUGAAAGUGAGAUACAAAAUUAGGAGAUGAAUUAGCAGAGAUUAGACUAUUUUCAGGGGUCGUGUAACAAAGUCCUGUAUUACUGCAGAUGCCAGAAAAGUUGGAGAUGAAACUGAGCCGAAUGAGGAAUAUCUUGCCUCAAAAGAUUUGGCGUAACUCCUCAAAACAUCUGGCAUCCCUUGGUAGCGUUUAUCACUCCACUGAAAAGUUGACCUUCUUCAGCCAUCCUUGACCACAUAAUGGAGCAGAGAGUGGGGCACUGUGUGUCAGAAAAUCUGGUUCCGUCUCUGGCUCUGCCGUGUCUGAGCUCUGCUACCUUGGGCCACCUGCUGAUCUGUCUGUGCCUUGGUUUCUUCUCCUGUAAAAUAGAGAUCCUUAUACCUACCUCUUAGGACUCUUGUGGGGACCAGAGGAGGUAAUUGACACUUGGUGGGUGCUCAGUAAAGGGUAGCUUACAAUGUUUUAGACUUUCUAACUUGGGAUAACAACUUCCUUAAGUGUAUAAUCUUCUCCAUUGGGAUUCUUUAGGUUUAGGGUCAAGAAGAAUUGGGAUUCUUCUGUCCAAGGUCAAGAAGGUCAAACAGAGAGCAUUGAGCUCUUUUUCAGAAGCCACUGGAGCAAAGACCAACAUCUCUAGGAGAGCUCCUCUAAGACUCCAGUAACGUCCAGCCUACGCAGUGUCUUCUCUUGUUGGAGUGUGGCUCUUGGAGCCCGACUGCCUGGGUUCAUGUCCUGGCUCUGAACCGGCUCAUACUUGGGCGCAUUCCUUAAUCUCUCUCUGCCUCAGAUCCCUCACCUCUGAUGUGGGGAUUAGAACAUCUACAGCCUAGAGUUGUUGGGAUUACAAUGUCAACAGCCAUAAAAGACUUAAAAUAGUAGCUGGUACACGAUAAGUACUAUAUAAGUGCUAGCAGCCAUCAUUUUUACUAUUAUGAUGAUGAUUCAUCUCUUCCCUUUCCUUCGACAUCUCCAGUCCCAUCUUUAUCAAUGCACUCUCCUCCUGAAGCCUCGGUGACUGAACAGAGCCAUCCUUAUAGGGUGGUGUGAGAGGACUUGGAAGGCUGCAGACUCUCACAUGGAGAUGAACCUGUGCCUGAUGUCUGAGAAGGUGUAGGGACCCCUACAGAUGGUUCUGAGGUGGGAAGGAGCAAGUCGCCCUCCACUGUACUGAACGAACGGGGACCCAUCCGCUUGCAGCAGGGGGCGUAUCUCCUGGUGGGGACGGAGCUUUGGCUUUGAGUCCAAACAGUUUUACUCAGGGGAAAACUCGUCAGUCAGAGGAGUGCCGAACAUGUCCAGAUGGAGGUGAAACCGCACAACUGGUCUCAGAUGGGAUGAAACCUCACAACUCAGAUGGGACUUGAACCCAGCCAAAAUUCUGAUUGGGACUUGAACCCACUGUCUUUUAAUUGAAAUCACACACAUGGUCUCAGGACUUAAUGAAGCUCAGGUUCUUUGUGUCUCACCUCAGAAGGAAUUCAGCUAGAGGCAAAGUGAAAGUGGCCCAGUUUGGAAGAUGAAUUAUAUAUUCACCCUCCUUAGAACGUCAAGGAGGAGAAAAUGUAGAUGUGAAAUACUGCAAAGAGGACAAGUAAGACUCCUGCCUGGAAGCAACAGAUCUGAAAUCCCACAGUAGGACAGACAGCAAGAUCAUGGCCAUAAAGAAUUCAGGAAUAGGUGAUCCUUGGCAGGUUGGUUGGCAGCUGGCAUCAGAUUUAGGAAUUUUUUCAUAUAGGCUCUGGACGCACAGGCUUAGCAGCCAUGGCUCACGGGCCCAGCCGCUCCGCGGCGUGUGGGAUCUUCCCGGACCGGGGCACGAACCCGUGUCCCCUGCAUCGGCAGGCGGACUCUCAACCACUGCGCCACCAGGGAAGCCCCGAUUUUUCUUUCUUAUAACUAAAAGAAUCUUAACUCCUAGAGAUUAUAUUUGAGAUCUCUUUAUUAUUCAUAUAAAUAUUAGGCCAUAAGUAUUAUUCUGAUUCUCUUCCCAGUGAUAAUGUCCUGAAAAUCUCACGUACCGUCUGCCGUGGUUGCAUCUUAAAAGCGGGAAUGUUGGCUUCAGUCAGACUUAUUUCAAGUCUCACCUCUGCCUCUUUGAGCCUGAGUUUCCUUAUGGGGAACACCUCUAUUAAGCUGAGAUACAGAGAGACUGAAACACUGAUACUUCCACUUUAAGAGCCCAGAGCCUUUCAGUCAACACGAGUGCUGCCUACCUGGAUAUCCUGAGUCUCUGCUACCAUCCAGCCCCAGGUCUGGUUAGGACAGAAUUCAAGCAUCGACUGAGAUCCACAUGGACAAAUGAACUCAGGGUCACUGUUGCAUCUAGAAGGGUAGGAACCACUUCUCUCUGUAGGAGCCCCAUGGAAAGGAAAGGACAAGCACAGAAUCCCAGGCUGUCUUGCUACUGGUGUCUGGUCGUGGUAGGGGUCACCAGUGGCCCUGAAUAAGUCCACCUGCCAGAUGGUUGGAUAGCCUACAGGGCUGUCCUGGGUUUAUCUUCUUGGCUGCAAGCCUCCGAGCUCCUGCCCAGACUUGCAUCAGGAGCUGUGGGGUGUUGUCUGAGUUGCCAGAUUCCAUCCACAAGCAGAGACUGCUCACCACUGGUAACAUCCAACCAUUCAGCAAUGAGCUUCCGGGCAAUUCUUUCAAGAGACUAGAUGGAUACCUGCAGCCAGACUUUAUCAGACUUACCAAAGUUUGACCUUAUAAACAGUUCAGUUUUCCAGAGUUCUCUGGCUUGCGUGUGGUUGACAGCUGCACCCUGCCAAGUUCUGAGUCCAACUUUGAAAUGUUUAUCCUCCACUACCUGCUCCAGAGCACAAGCAAUGCUUGGCCCAAACAUAGGACCUUGAUGAAUUAAGUGAGGUCACUCAGAAGUUUCACUGCUUGUGUGGAAGCAACGUCAGGAGUUACAAUACUGUCUUCUUCUGGCAAAGUAUUAGUCAGCAGUACUGACUGAACAAAUCGGCAGGCUGGGGAUCCUCACACGUUAAACCUGCCUUGACAACCCAGGGACCUUGAUGCGGAAUCCAGAGUUUCACCCUCAAAGGACCUGACUCAAAAGGAAAAGCUCUGCUUCAAGGUUUACGGCCUGCCGAAAAAAUGAUUAAGAUGUGUAAACACACAGCAGGAAGAUUCUCUUCACUGUUCAGGUGAUAAGGGACUUCAAAUACAUGAAUGGCAUCCACACAGAAAAGGAAUUAGAUUUGGUUGGGGUGGAACUCCACAAUGGCAGAACUGGGAUUAGUGGGAUGGAAGCUAUAGGAAGAAGUAUCCACUUGGUACGAGGAAAAAACUUUUGAACAAUUAUAAUUAUGUUAAAAUAAAAAUGAAGUGCCCCAGGAGGUGGUGAGCAGCUGAGCACUGGAACCAUUGAAUCAGGGGGUGGAGGGGUCACCUGUCAGGAUACUGGGAAGGGUUUGAGCUGAUGUCAAAGGAGAUCCAACUCAGGUCUAGGAUUCUGUGAUGAAUGUUGGGGCUAGAAAGUUAUAUACACAGAGUUACUCCCUGUCCGGGGCCAGGGAAAUGCUUUUCAGACAGGACUAAGGAGAAAGGAUUUCCACAUGGGAAGACUUGUUACAGAAAACAUUAUUUCAAUGGGUAGUUAACAAAAUAGAGCAUGCAUGUGAACUUAUUUACAAAAUGGAGAUGGUGUUAUUCACGUUGGUCACAGGGCUGCUGUAAAUACUGAGACAAUAUAGGGAUGUGCUUGGAACAGAGCCUUAGCUCAGUAAGUGUUCGAGAUUAUUAAUAGAUUAUUUACAAUGUGUAAAAGUUAGCUGGUCAAUUUCUUUCUGAGGACAUAGUCAUUAGAUGGCUACUGAAAUAACUAGGAAUCUAUAAAAAUUGACUGUGGUAUAUUGCCCAUGGUAGAGUAGGAGGAGAUAGGUUUUGGGGUUUAGAAACUAAAACUUGGUUAAUAUACCCACUUCUCCAAUCACAGGAGAUAGUAACUAUCUGUAAUGCCACAUUCAAAUACAGAAUACAGUAACUUGCGUUACCUACAUACAGUUUACAGUGUACAUUUACCUCUUUUGCAUAUAGAUGGAGACAUAUGGCAUAAGUAUUUACAUGCAUAUUUAUAAUUACUCUAAUUCCUUGAAGUUAGGAAGUUAAGCAGUGAAAAUAUUCUUAUAAAGUUAUAAAAUUGGUCCCUACUAAAACAUCACUUCUCAGGUAAUACUACUACCCCCUACUUCUUCUGUGAUAGGGCUUUAAAAGUCCAAGUAAAGUGAAAGAUGUUAUGAUUUAUAAUUUUGUCAGAAAAUGUAUGCUGAGAAAAAUAACAUAUAAUUCAUUCUCUAAGAAUCAGUCCAUGUUUGGGACUUCCCUGGUGGCGCAGUGGUUAAGACUCCGCACUCCCAAUGCAGGGGGCCCGGGGUUCGAUCCCUGGUCAGGG